This 497-nucleotide ribosomal RNA is filed under the name uncultured bacterium. Its description in RNAcentral is "partial 16S ribosomal RNA". It matches the Rfam family "Bacterial small subunit ribosomal RNA", at positions 28 to 507 of the family's 1533-position model. The record is from RNAcentral.
GAUGAACGCUGGCGGCGUGCCUAAUACAUGCAAGUCGAGCGAACAGACGAGGAGCUUGCUCCUCUGACGUUAGCGGCGGAAGGGUGAGUAACACGUGGAUAACCUACCUAUAAGACUGGGAUAACUUCGGGAAACCGGAGCUAAUACCGGAUAAUAUAUUGAACCGCAUGGUUCAAUAGUGAAAGACGGUUUUGCUGUCACUUAUAGAUGGAUCCGCGCCGCAUUAGCUAGUUGGUAAGGUAACGGCUUACCAAGGCAACGAUGCGUAGCCGACCUGAGAGGGUGGUCGGCCCCACUGGAACUGAGACACGAUCCAGACUCCUACGGGAGGCAGCAGUAGGGAAUCUUCCGCAAUGGGCGAAAGCCUGACGGAGCAACGCCGCGUGAGUGAUGAAGGUCUUCGGAUCGUAAAACUCUGUUAUUAGGGAAGAACAAAUGUGUAAGUAACUAUGCACGUCUUGACGGUACCUAAUCAGAAAGCCACGGCUAACUACGUG